Molecule: ribosomal RNA, 253 nt
Filed under: uncultured bacterium
Lineage: Bacteria
Description: partial 16S ribosomal RNA
Rfam family: Bacterial small subunit ribosomal RNA
Source: RNAcentral
UACGAAGGGGGCUAGCGUUGUUCGGAAUCACUGGGCGUAAAGCGCACGUAGGCGGAUCUUUAAGUCAGGGGUGAAAUCCCGGGGCUCAACCUCGGAACUGCCCUUGAUACUGGAGAUCUUGAGUUCGGAAGAGGCGAGUGGAACUGCGAGUGUAGAGGUGAAAUUCGUAGAUAUUCGCAAGAACACCAGUGGCGAAGGCGGCUCACUGGUCCGAUACUGACGCUGAGGUGCGAAAGCGUGGGGAGCAAACAGG